AAGUUGCAUCGGGAGGCUGGACCUCUCUAUAGACAUGAGAUGUUGUAGGAUAAAGGUGGGGUUGGGCACCAAUAACUGUUAGGUGAGGACCCAAUGACGACUUUAUUCCUACGGUUAUACGGUGGGUCUGACUUAACUAAGAAAUGGGACCAAUAACUGUUAGGUGAGGUCUUCAUGGCUUAGAGACCAAGUUGCACUGCAACAUGCUUGAGAAGCAUUGUACAAGAGUUAUACACUCAUCCAUCUAUGUGUCACCAAUAACUGUUAGGUGAGGUGGCAUGUAGAUUGGUGAGACCGCAGUACCUACUAGAAACCCUAGUCGCGUAGGAUUUCCGUUUUCCUACCAGGGGAGUGUGAGGAAUUCGAAAAAAUAGUGGGAGUUACAUUUGUUCUAAAAGAUCUUAGAACAGAUUAGGAUCAUGUACAAAAGUCUAACUAGAAUCUUUACUCUCUGCAGAUACAAUGUCAGCUUCAAACUCUUUGACCCGUAUUCUUGAGACCAACCGACUGACCGGA
RNAcentral lists this long non-coding RNA (516 nucleotides) under Phoenix dactylifera (date palm). Its description in RNAcentral is "long non-coding RNA (PDAC_LNC019188)". The record is from RNAcentral. Lineage: Eukaryota; Viridiplantae; Streptophyta; Magnoliopsida; Arecales; Arecaceae.